AUGCCUUAUAGUAUGCAUGCAAAGAGAAGCAAAAACGCCCUAUUCCUAGCUGCCUGACCUUCCUAACUAGUGCGCGCGCGCAUAUAACCUUUCAAAAACCUGCAAGGGAAACCCCCGAAUGUGGAGUCUCGGUCAUGCCCCUAGCUUAACUUAACUUAACCUAGUGUGCCAUCGCACCUGGUGAGCUUCCACAAACAGGGGUAAGGUUUGCAUGCCUUAUGUUAAUUUCUUCCAUUGUCGAGCCGCCAAAACAGAGAGGGGACCUAAUCUCUGGUAGCGAACUGUUUUCAUAUAACCUGGGGCAGAAAACUAACGUUCGAAACCAGCGAUAUACAUGCACUACGGGCGAUGAAAGAUACAACUUUCCAAGACAAUAUACCGCCAAUUUAUUAUCUUUACUUACUAAAGCCUAGACUAUUUAUCAUUACAAUAUCAUGUCAUUACAGUCUUAAACUGAUCUUUUUAUCUUGUCCAACGAUAUCCACCAAUCUUCUUACGGGUACCAUUUGCACCCUCUAAGCUAUGGAUACCAUUUGCACCCAGUUUAGUUAUCCUAUCCAAGGAAAACUCUGCCAGCUUUUCAACAAAAUUUUACCUACACCCAUAUAUUACAUACACAAAUAUACAGAUCAUGUAAUGAGUUAAGGUUAAGGUUAUAGGGUUAGAUUUAACCCCAAGCCAAAGCCUAACACAUUUCAUGAUAUUUCUAUACAUUUAUGAACAUAACAUAUUGAUAUAAACAAAAUUUUUAAGUCUGUCAAGGUUUUACUUGUCUGCCUAUAUUCUGGAUACUAGUUGCGCGCUGCGUUUAUCCAUGCACAGAGACGGAGACACCUAAGCAGUACAUUUACACAAAGAGAAGAACAUUGGCACGAACAGACCGCAAAUAGCUAGAGUGGGUCUCAGUACGAGUUUCUAGAGUGAAAAAAUAAUGUUCACUGUUUUUUACUUUAUGUAGCAGUCUUGUAUUUGAAGCAAAAUAAAUUGGUCCAGCAGGUGUCAAAAUUUCUGAUAUUGACAAUCGUUUGGAUUGUAACACUUACUGAAACCCACCAAUAAUCGAACCGAGUGCAUGCAACGAACCACGUGACCGGAAGCUCAAAUGUUAAUCUCUUAAGAUUGACUUUCGAUUGCAGACGAUGUCGAAAUUCUGAUUAACUGAGGUGAAAAUUGUACCUCAUUUUUUAUUAGCAUGCAAACAUCUGAAUAAAAGUCAACCUUGUGUGCAAAUGUACAACUAACGACAGACCGCCAGGUUUUUUAAACCGUUUUAUCCCAGAGACGUCACCGAACACAUGCAAAUUAGAGUCCUGGGUAACUACUGCCUGAUAGCAGGCUAACCCUUAACUACUGCCUGAUAGCAAGUUAACUACUGCUUGUUAUCAGACUAAUACUCUAACCUUGAGGCAGUCGUCUCGUUCCCGUCGUGCAGCUUUCGUUAUCAAGAUACAUCGGUAGGUUAACCGUCGAUCGCGAGGUACAUUUUAUCCACAAAUGUUCACAAUAAUCCUGAAGUGUUCGUUGUAAUCCAUCAAUGUUCAUUAUAAUCCAUUAAUGUUCACAGUAUCGAUCUCCAAUAGUAAACAGUAAUCCGUAUUUAUCCACUGAUAUCCGCUACGACUCCCACGGGACCUCCCAUCCGACACCUCAAAUGACGUUUUGGUCAGUUUUAAAUUUUAUUGGUUAAUUUUU
This 1692-nucleotide long non-coding RNA is filed under the name Paramuricea clavata. Lineage: Eukaryota; Metazoa; Cnidaria; Anthozoa; Malacalcyonacea; Plexauridae. The record is from RNAcentral.